GACAGAGGUGCCAAGCGUUAUGCGGAAUCACUGGGCUUAAAGCGUGUGUAGGCGGAAUGGUAAGUACCUUGUGAAAUCCCACGGCUCAACCGUGGAACUGCUGGGUAUACUGCCCUUCUUGAGCCUCUUAGGGGCUGUCGGAACAAACGGUGGAGCGGUGAAAUGCGUAGAUAUCGUUUGGAACGCCAAUGGCGAAAACAGACAGCUGGGAGUGUGCUGACGCUGAGACACGAAAGCCAGGGGAGCGAACGGG
Molecule: ribosomal RNA, 253 nt
Filed under: uncultured bacterium
Lineage: Bacteria
Description: partial 16S ribosomal RNA
Rfam family: Bacterial small subunit ribosomal RNA
Source: RNAcentral